CACCAAUCACCUGUAGAGAGCUCAUGGCCGAUGAGCUCACUUUCAAUGGCAGAAGUUGAGGUUUAAAACAAAAAUGGUUCAGAAGGCAGGAUGCCAAGGUUAAGAUAGAGAUUUCUAGAAGAGGGUGUGGAUAAGUCUAAUACGACGUGACAGGAAGGAGCGGCUGUCAAGGAAGGAAGAUGGAGAAAACUGCAUUGAUUUAUAAAGAAAAAUGUUGUUUUCCUUGGAAGAGGAGACUUGGUACGUCACCAAAUAUUCUUGCAAAUUUCUAGAGAUGUAUGGCGGAGGGCAUUCUGACUGGUUGCAUCACAGCCUGGUACGGAGCUCCAGUGCACACGAUUGCAAACGGCUGCAGAGGGUUGUAGAGUCAGCCAGUUCCAUCAAGGGCACAACCCCCUAUGUCAUCGAGGACACCUUUAAGAGUUGAUGCCUUAAGAAGGCCGCAUCCACCGUUAAAGACCCUCAAUGUCUGGAGCAUGCCUGCUUUACCUCAGGGAGGAGCUACAGGAGCUUAACGACCCACACUCAGCAUUUUAGGAAAAGCUUCUUUAACUACGCUAACAGAUUUAGUAAGUGUUCCAUGAACACGGCCUCAACAUUCAUCUUUUGCACAGUUUGUUUUGUAAUAGUGAUUUUCAUAUAUUGCACUGUACUGCUACCACAGAACAACAAAACUUCACACCAUGUGCUAGUGAUAAGAAAUCGGGUUCUGUUUCUGAUUCCUUGUUUUCCCUGCCCAACUGAAAAGUUUUCAUUCAAUUUUGAAUUCUUUUUUGCUUUUCUGGUGUGCAGUCGAAUCAGCACUGGAGGCCUCACCGGGUCGGGGAGCAAGAGAUUUAAAUAAAGGAGCUUUCGCAGCAUUCUGGCUUUUUUUGACGGUCUGGACAUGAUUCAUUAGCAAGUACAGAUAAAAAUAAGGCAGGGACAAGUGGAGCAGCCAUUGUUGGAGUGCACCAGUGUUAAAGUGGGGAGGCUUUGGGUCGUCAGGCCUGAUGUACAUAACUGGAAGAUCAUUGGAUAUUCUCCAACCUCCUGAGCCGUCUUCAACUGUGGCUAAAGAGGAUACAAAGACCUCCAUCAAGUAAUCUCUCCUGUCUCUCUCAAUAGUCUGGGAUGGAUUCCACCAGGCCCAAGGGAUUUAUCCACCUAAUAUUUUUCAAGAUAUCUGACAUUUCCUCCUAGACAUGAGAAUAUUCCAGAACAUCAGCAAUUACUCCCUGACUUUCUGCGAAGGCUGAGAAAAGUCCAUCUCCCACGCCCCCAUCCUCACCACAUUCUACAGAGGAGGUAUCGAGAGCAUCCUCAGCAGCUGCAUCACUGCCUGGUUCGGGAAUUGCACCGUCUCGCAUCGCAAGACCCUGCAGCGGAUAGUGAGUCAGCUGAGAAGAUCAUCGGGGUCUCUCUUCGUGCUAUUACAGACAUUUACACCACACGCUGCACCCGCAAAGCUAACAGUAUUGUGAAGGAUCCCACACACCCCUCACACAAACUCUUCUCCCUCCUGCCAUCUGGCAAAAGGUACCAAAGCAUUCGGGCUCUCACGAUCAGACUAUGUAACAGUUUCUUCCUCCAAGCCAUCAGACUCCUCAAUACUCAGAGUCUAGACUGACAUCUACAUCAUUUAUUAUUAUAUUGUAAUUUCUCCUCUACUGUGCCGAUUGUCUUGUUUAUUAAUUAUUGUACUGCCCUGUACUGUUUUGUGCACUUUAUGUAGUCCUGUGCAGGUCUGUAGUCUAGUGCAGUUUUUAUGUUGUUUUACAUAGUCUAGUGUAGUUUUGUGUUGUUUCAUGCAGCACCAGGAUCCUGGAGGAACGUUGUUUCGUUUUUACUGUGUACUGUACCGGCAGC
Molecule: long non-coding RNA, 1848 nt
Organism: Mobula hypostoma (lesser devil ray)
Lineage: Eukaryota; Metazoa; Chordata; Chondrichthyes; Myliobatiformes; Myliobatidae
Exons: 4
Source: RefSeq, a predicted model, not a curated record